UACAGAGGGGGCAAGCGUUGUUCGGAAUUACUGGGCGUAAAGCGUGCGCAGGCGGUUCGCCAAGUCAGGUGUGAAAUCCCCGGGCUUAACCUGGGAAUUGCGCUUGAAACUAGCGGGCUUGAGUGUGGCAGAGGGGGGUGGAAUUCCACGUGUAGCAGUGAAAUGCGUAGAGAUGUGGAGGAACACCGAUGGCGAAGGCAGCCCCCUGGGCCAAUACUGACGCUCAUGCACGAAAGCGUGGGGAGCAAACAGG
This 253-nucleotide ribosomal RNA is filed under the name uncultured bacterium. RNAcentral's name for it is "partial 16S ribosomal RNA". It matches the Rfam family "Bacterial small subunit ribosomal RNA", at positions 524 to 776 of the family's 1533-position model. The record is from RNAcentral.